CAGGUCAGCCUGCACCAGAGAUUAUUUCUAUAGUUUCUUACUAGAGAAGUUUCUCUGUGUAGAGUACUAGAAACCACGAGGAGGAGGCAUAGCAUUAUCUCCUGAGCAUGAAGUUGCUUUGCUGCAACUGCCACUGACCACUCAUGAUUGUUCCUGAUCUCCUUAAGGGGAGCUGGAGGGAGAGGACACAGUCUGAGUGGC
Molecule: small nucleolar RNA, 201 nt
Filed under: Jaculus jaculus (lesser Egyptian jerboa)
Lineage: Eukaryota; Metazoa; Chordata; Mammalia; Rodentia; Dipodidae
Description: Small nucleolar RNA U3 (ENSJJAG00000001771.1)
Rfam family: Small nucleolar RNA U3
About the family: Small nucleolar RNAs (snoRNAs) are involved in the processing and modification of rRNA in the nucleolus.
Source: RNAcentral